Long non-coding RNA from Branchiostoma belcheri (Belcher's lancelet), 327 nucleotides. RefSeq lists it as uncharacterized. The transcript has 3 exons. The record is from RefSeq and is a predicted model, not a curated record. NCBI's taxonomy places the organism in Eukaryota, Metazoa, Chordata, Leptocardii, Amphioxiformes, Branchiostomatidae.
GGAUGGGGCGUUUCCGGGAUGGGGAGUAGCUCUCAUCUGUAUCGCUCUUAUCUGUGCUGCGGCAGGAGCUGCUUUUUUGAUGUGGAGGGUGAGGCAACAGGGAGGCAAACUUGACCUCAGCAAAUUUCGAACACCGAGCACCAAGGUUAAGAUCCCGAGGGCAAGGGUCAGAGUUGAGUUGUCGGGAAAGUUGCAGGAAGAAAUCGACAUGAAAGACUUGGCCGUAUCCGAUGACCCUGACAAGGAGAAAGGUCAAGUCAAGGACACCAGUGUCAAGGACACUAAGGUCACUGUCGAAGAGGAAGACAAGAGAACAAGUCUUUGAGG